CGGAAAAAAUGGGGUAGACGAAUCAUUUAUCUUUCUCAUUUUCUCUCCCCGUUCUCCACAAAAGAGUCCCACUGUUUCUCUCUGCAUUUCGGCAUAUCUUUUCGCUUUCCAGUACCCAUCAAUAUAUUCUAAUCACUAUCGCAGAUAAGGAAAGAUGAACACAUAUAUCGCACUAUCAACGAAAACACCCAGUGAUAAAUUCACCAGGUUCAAAUUAUAUGUUGAGAUGAAAGAUGGUGUGAGGACGGAGGACUUAUGAUAUUUUUUAGGUGUUACAAAGUAUUGGGAUUUAACUAGAAAAGCUAAGAAUCAUAAUGGUUGGAUCGAGUUUGCUGGAAUUCCUAAAAGGUGCGGAGCUGUGGAAUUUAUUUGUAUGUCAUGUUGAGACGUCCAUAGUGUUUGUGGAACACACAAAUGAAAACUUUUGAAGGACAUUUCCUCGGAUUAGAUACGGGAAAAGGUUUGCUUCACAAAAUUUAUAGGUACAGUUUGCUCAGUGGUGAUGACUCUAUAAUCUGAGGUGGUAACACAUGAAGUGUACUAUGGUGCAAAUGGCUCAAAUGAUGAUUUCUCCAGCAUCAUGUCUCGCACAUUAAUAGUCGAGGUCACUGGAAAUGAUGGAUCUAUCUCUACCUUAAACUCCUCUGCCUUUCCAUGUUGAGGAACCUUCUGAGGUUUAAUUUGGUUGCUCCAGAAACAUUUGUGAAACUUUACUACAUGUAUAAUGGAUAUGGCGAAGGAGGAAAUAUUUUUGGAUCAAUGGGUGGACCUAACAAUAUCAUCUUGGCAGGUACAGGUAGCGUCAUAGAAAUACAGUUCGCCUCGCCAAUUUUAAAUAUGAAUAUUGUAUGGAAUUGUGUCAUACGUUUCAAUACUACAAGUUUAGAGAGCUGGUGCAUACCUUCAUUUUUCAAUACUGAGCCUACUGGGAAUAGAUAGAAAACUUUAUAUGAUUUCGUAUAGAUGUUCUUACUAUUGCAUUCAUUUAGUUCCGAUCAUUACAUUGCUUUUGAAGUAUUAUUGCGAAGACAUUUGCUUUGGUUUGUCUCAUUUUUUCAAGUUGCAAGUAAAUUAUUAUCUUCUCAUGGAAAUUAAGUAUAGCACUUGGAUCUAUCUAUUUGAAUUUUGAGGUGAUUGUUAGGAGAUAUCAGUUGUCCAAUUUUGUUAGAAUUGUUAGCAUAAUAAUUUUAUAAAAGCAUAUUAUCUUGGUUGAAAUGGUUUUUAUUUAAACGGCAGACAAAUGCAAUAUGCAACAUCAUCCAUGACUUUUGCAUCAUCCAUGACGACUCGCCAAAUAUUGCCUAUGAGAACAAAUUUGAAUGGGAGUGCUCCACUUUGGUAAUGUACAAAGCCACAUGUUUUCCUUUUAGGUCUGAAUAAAACAAAGUUAUGAAGCUACCGACUACGCCUAUUUAAUAUUACCAGUUAUUUUGGUUUCAUAUUUUUGGUUUGGCUUUUAUUUUAUAGUUCAAGGGAAUCAUAAAAAAUUACUAAUAUACAAGCUGUAGCAUACAGAUUCCUAUUGGCAUGGAGCAACAACUGUGGAUUCGUUACAGGUUACCUUGAAUAAGAUAUUGGCUCCAUACAAUGAUGCAGUGCUUCCUUUUGGUUCCCAUGGUUGAUGUUUAUUUUCAUUUCUCUUGCGAUGUUUUGUUCUCAUUGGAACUUUCAUGUGCGACCAGUGGGGGUUGCAAGUAUAUUUGUAAUGAUGACGAUACUGGCAACUCAGGGUUAGAGAAAAAACCACAAGAUAAUGUUAAAAUUGAGGAAUUUGUUUUAGAUUUUGUUGAAUUGGAUUAUUAAGGGAGUCAUUCAUAUAUCCCUUUUCCCGCAAUUUUUUUUCCAAAACAACAAAAGUAACACGCUGACAUGUAUUACACAUUUAAUUGUAUAUGAAUGAAUGAAAGAUGCUCAAUUAACUUAUGGAUUUAUAUGUAAGUGGGUAAAUUUUAUUGUUCAUCA
Molecule: long non-coding RNA, 1962 nt
Organism: Papaver somniferum (opium poppy)
Lineage: Eukaryota; Viridiplantae; Streptophyta; Magnoliopsida; Ranunculales; Papaveraceae
Exons: 6
Source: RefSeq, a predicted model, not a curated record